Molecule: ribosomal RNA, 468 nt
Filed under: uncultured bacterium
Lineage: Bacteria
Description: partial 16S ribosomal RNA
Rfam family: Bacterial small subunit ribosomal RNA
Source: RNAcentral
GACGAACGCUGGCGGCGUGCUUAGCACAUGCAAGUCGAACGGAAAGGCCCUGCUUUUGUGGGGUGCUCGAGUGGCGAACGGGUGAGUAACACGUGAGUAACCUGCCCUUGACUUUGGGAUAACUUCAGGAAACUGGGGCUAAUACCGGAUAGGAGCUCCUGCUGCAUGGUGGGGGUUGGAAAGUUUCGGCGGUUGGGGAUGGACUCGCGGCUUAUGAGCUUGUUGGUGGGGUAGUGGCUUACCAAGGCUUUGACGGGUAGCCGGCCUGAGAGGGUGACCGGCCACAUUGGGACUGAGAUACGGCCCAGACUCCUACGGGAGGCAGAAGUGGGGAAUAUUGCACAAUGGGCGGAAGCCUGAUGCAGCAACGCCGCGUGCGGGAUGACGGCCUUCGGGUUGUAAACCGCUUUCGCCUGUGACGAAGCGUGAGUGACGGUAAUGGGUAAAGAAGCACCGGCUAACUACGUG